This 852-nucleotide ribosomal RNA is filed under the name uncultured Chloroflexota bacterium. RNAcentral's name for it is "bacterial SSU rRNA". It matches the Rfam family "Bacterial small subunit ribosomal RNA", at positions 28 to 896 of the family's 1533-position model. The record is from RNAcentral. Lineage: Bacteria; Bacillati; Chloroflexota.
GAUAAACGCUUGCGGCGUGCCUUAUGCAUGCAAGCCGAACGGUCCUUUAGUUUUCGGAUUAGAGGAUAGUGGCGAAUGGGUGAGUAACGCGUAAGUAACCUGCCCCCAAGUAGAGAAUAACUCCGAGAAAUUGGAGCUAAUACUUUAUGUGGUGGUCGAGGUAAGGCUCGAUCACUAAAGCCUUAGGGCGCUCGGGGAGGGCUUGCGUCUGAUUAGCUAGUUGGUAGGGUAACGGCUUACCAAGGCCAUGAUCGGUAGCUGGUUUGAGAGGAUGGUCAGCCACACUGGGACUGAGACACGGCCUAGACUCCUACGGGAGGCAGCAGCAAGGAAUAUUGUGCAAUGGGCGAAAGCCUGACACAGCGACGUCGCGUGGGGGAUGACAGCUUUCGGGUUGUAAACCCCUUUUCUCAGGGAAGAAUAAUGACGGUACCUGAGGAAUAAGUCUCGGCUAACUACGUGCCAGCAGCCGCGGUAAUACGUAGGAGGCGAGCGUUAUCCGGAUUUACUGGGCGUAAAGAGGGCGUAGGCGGUUCUUCAAGUCGGAUGUAAAAUCUCCCGGCUUAACUGGGAGGGACCAUUCGAUACUGUCGGGCUAGAGGGCAGCAGAGGGAGGUAGAAUUCCCGGUGUAGUGGUGAUAUGCGUAGAUAUCGGGAGGAAUACCAGUGGCGAAGGCGGCCUCCUGGGCUGUUUCUGACGUUGAGGCCCAAAAGCGUGGGGAGCAAACAGGAUUAGAUACCCUGGUAGUCCACGCUGUAAACUAUGGACACUAGGUAUAGGGAGUAUCGACCCUCUCUGUGCCGAAGCUAACGCAUUAAGUGUCCCGCCUGGGGACUACGGCCGCAAGGCUA